This 711-nucleotide ribosomal RNA is filed under the name Triticum aestivum (bread wheat). RNAcentral describes it as "partial small subunit ribosomal RNA". Lineage: Eukaryota; Viridiplantae; Streptophyta; Magnoliopsida; Poales; Poaceae. The record is from RNAcentral.
AUGCCCUCCGCCUCGCUCCUCCCCGCCACCUCCGCCGGGGCGCAGCUCUGCCCCACCCUAGCAACGCCCCGCGGCCGGCGCCGAUGCUGCCGCGUCACGGCCGCCUCCGUCCCACCGCCUUCCGUCGGCCGCCGCGCCGUCUCCCUCGCCGGCGUCGCCGCCUGGCUCGCCACCACCGCCGGCCGGGCAGAAGCCAGUCCGUUCGACAACUACGUCAAGAAGAAGAAGCUGGAGCCACUGGAGACGUACGUCCCGGCCGUGCUGCUGACCCAAGACCAGUUCAGGGAUCUAGAGAAAUCCUUGGAAUUCGAGAAGCCAAGGUUUGAUGAGAGUAGAUCAUUGCUUCGCUCUGGUCCAGCAUCAUCUCUACGUAUCAAUAUUCGGGCAGUGGCACAAUAUGCUUCCAGUAAUGGCCAAGGCAAAACUGCCUCUGAUGCAGUGGAUGAAUGCUUACGAGCGUUGGAAGAUCUCGACUCGCUGCUACUAAAGGCUUCACGGAAAGACUCGUCAGCAUCUGUUGAAGUCAUGAGGAGCAAAAUCGCUGUAGCCCUUGGAGCACUGGACAACCUCCUGCAAACCGUGCCGUCAGCCGUUAUGGAUAAAGGAAAGGCGAUUGCUGAUGCAUACAGGACCCCUUCAGAUGGUUAUUAUGAAGAGGGUAAUGGCGCAGAGUUGGAUCCCAGCCUGAAACAGCUGCAGGACAUUCUAUAA